ACUCAAAUGAAUUGACGGGGGCCCGCACAAGCAGCGGAGCGUGUGGUUUAAUUCGAGGCUACCCGAAGAACCUUACCUGGAUUGGACAGGCACGUAGUAGGGAAGCGAAAGCGGACCGACCUUCGGGAGCGUGCUCAGGUGCUGCAUGGCUGUCGUCAGCUCGUGUCGUGAGAUGUACGGUUAAGUCCGCAAACGAGCGCAACCCUCGCCGCCAGUUACAGGUGUCUGGCGGGACUGCCCGCGGGAAGCGGGAGGAAGGUGGGGAUGACGUCAAGUCCGCAUGGCCUUGAUAUCCAGGGCGACACACACGCUACAAUGGACGGCACAAUGGGCGGCCAAGCGGCGACGCGGAGCCAAUCCCGAAAGCCGUUCGCAGUUCGGAUUGCAGGCUGCAACCCGCCUGCAUGAAGGUGGAGUUGCUAGUAACCGCGGGUCAGCUAAACUGCGGUGAAUACGUUCCCGGGCCUUGUACACACCGCCCGU
RNAcentral lists this ribosomal RNA (483 nucleotides) under uncultured bacterium. RNAcentral's name for it is "partial 16S ribosomal RNA". It matches the Rfam family "Bacterial small subunit ribosomal RNA", at positions 899 to 1397 of the family's 1533-position model. The record is from RNAcentral.